RNAcentral lists this ribosomal RNA (253 nucleotides) under uncultured bacterium. RNAcentral's name for it is "partial 16S ribosomal RNA". It matches the Rfam family "Bacterial small subunit ribosomal RNA", at positions 524 to 776 of the family's 1533-position model. The record is from RNAcentral.
GACGAACCGUCCGAACGUUAUUCGGAAUCACUGGGCUUAAAGGGUGCGUAGACGGCGCGGAAAGUUGGGUGUGAAACCCCUCGGCUCAACCGAGGAACUGCGCCCAAAACUACCGUGCUCGAGGGAGAUAGAGGUGAGCGGAACUUAGGGUGGAGCGGUGAAAUGCGUUGAUAUCCUAAGGAACACCGGUGGCGAAAGCGGCUCACUGGAUCUCUUCUGACGCUGAGGCACGAAAGCUAGGGUAGCGAACGGG